RNAcentral lists this ribosomal RNA (512 nucleotides) under uncultured bacterium. RNAcentral's name for it is "partial 16S ribosomal RNA". It matches the Rfam family "Bacterial small subunit ribosomal RNA", at positions 355 to 857 of the family's 1533-position model. The record is from RNAcentral.
UGGGGAAUUUUGCACAAUGGGCGCAAGCCUGAUGCAGCCAUGCCGCGUGUGUGAAGAAGGCCUUCGGGUUGUAAAGCACUUUCAGCGAGGAGGAAGGUGGUGGACUUAAUACGUUCAUCAAUUGACGUUACUCGCAGAAGAAGCACCGGCUAACUCCGUGCCAGCAGCCGCGGUAAUACGGAGGGUGCAAGCGUUAAUCGGAAUUACUGGGCGUAAAGCGCACGCAGGCGGUUUGUUAAGUCAGAUGUGAAAUCCCCGGGCUCAACUGGGAACUGCAUUUGAAACUGGCAAGCUAGAGUCUCGUAGAGGGGGGUAGAAUUCCAGGUGUAGCGGUGAAAUGCGUAGAGAUCUGGAGGAAUACCGGUGGCGAAGGCGGCCCCCUGGACGAAGACUGACGCUCAGGUGCGAAAGCGUGGGGAGCAAACAGGAUUAGAUACCCCUGGUAGUCCACGCUGUAAAACGAUGUCGAUUUUGGAGGUUGUGCCCUUGAGGCGUGGCUUCCGGAGCUAACG